This 375-nucleotide ribosomal RNA is filed under the name uncultured organism. RNAcentral's name for it is "partial 16S ribosomal RNA". It matches the Rfam family "Bacterial small subunit ribosomal RNA", at positions 527 to 896 of the family's 1533-position model. The record is from RNAcentral.
GUAGGUGGCAAGCGUUGUCCGGAAUUAUUGGGCGUAAAGCGCGCGCAGGCGGUCCUUUAGGUCUGAUGUGAAAGCCCACGGCUCAACCGUGGAGGGUCAUUGGAAACUGGGGGACUUGAGUACAGAAGAGGAAAGCGGAAUUCCAAGUGUAGCGGUGAAAUGCGUAGAGAUUUGGAGGAACACCAGUGGCGAAGGCGGCUUUCUGGUCUGUAACUGACGCUGAGGCGCGAAAGCGUGGGGAGCAAACAGGGAUUAGAUACCCUGGUAGUCCACGCCGUAAACGAUGAGUGCUAAGUGUUAGGGGGGUUUCCCGCCCCCUUAGUGCUGCAGCUAACGCAUUAAGCACUCCGCCUGGGGAGUACGGCCGCAAGGCUG